CCGGGUUGCGGACAGUGUCUGGUGGGUAGUUUGACUGGGGCGGUCUCCUCCUAAAGAGUAACGGAGGAGCACGAAGGUUAGCUAAUCCUGGUCGGACAUCAGGAGGUUAGUGCAAAGGCAUAAGCUAGCUUGACUGCGAGAGUGACGGCUCGAGCAGGUGCGAAAGCAGGUCUUAGUGAUCCGGUGGUUCUGAAUGGAAGGGCCAUCGCUCAACGGAUAAAAGGUACUCCGGGGAUAACAGGCUGAUACCGCCCAAGAGUUCAUAUCGACGGCGGUGUUUGGCACCUCGAUGUCGGCUCAUCACAUCCUGGGGCUGAAGUAGGUCCCAAGGGUAUGGCUGUUCGCCAUUUAAAGUGGUACGCGAGCUGGGUUUAGAACGUCGUGAGACAGUUCGGUCCCUAUCUGCCGUGGGCGCUGGAGAAUUGAGGGGGGCUGCUCCUAGUACGAGAGGACCGGAGUGGACGCAUCACUGGUGUUCGGGUUGUCAUGCCAAUGGCAUUGCCCGGUAGCUAAAUGCGGAAAAGAUAAGUGCUGAAAGCAUCUAAGCACGAAACUUGCCCCGAGAUGAGUUCUCCCUGAGACUUUAAGUCUCCUGAAGGAACGUUAAAGACUAUGACGUUGAUAGGUCGGGUGUGUAAGUGUAGCGAUACAUUGAGCUAACCGAUACUAAUGAACCGUGAGGCUUAACCUUACAACGCCGAAG
RNAcentral lists this ribosomal RNA (703 nucleotides) under Citrobacter europaeus. RNAcentral's name for it is "partial 23S ribosomal RNA". It matches the Rfam family "Bacterial large subunit ribosomal RNA", at positions 2240 to 2925 of the family's 2925-position model. Lineage: Bacteria; Pseudomonadati; Pseudomonadota; Gammaproteobacteria; Enterobacterales; Enterobacteriaceae. The record is from RNAcentral.